CGGAGGGAUCAUUAAAGAGUUCUAUAACUCCCAAACCCAUGUGAACAUACCUAACGUUGCCUCGGCAGGUCGCACCUACCUUGUAGCACCCUACCCUGUAGGGCCUACCCGGGAGGUGCGGGUAAGCCUGCCGGCGGCCCACCAAACUCUGUUUGAUAUUGAAUUCUGAACCUAUAACUAAAUAAGUUAAAACUUUCAACAACGGAUCUCUUGGUUCUGGCAUCGAUGAAGAACGCAGCGAAAUGCGAUAAGUAAUGUGAAUUGCAGAAUUCAGUGAAUCAUCGAAUCUUUGAACGCAUAUUGCGCCCAUUAGUAUUCUAGUGGGCAGGACCGUUCGAGCGUCAUUUCAACCCUUAAGCCUUCGUUGCUUAGUGUUGGGAGCCUACGGCAACGUAGCUCCUCAAAGUUAGUGGCGGAGUUGGUUCACACUCUAGACGUAGUAAUUUUUUAUCUCGCCUAUUAGUUGGACUAAUCCCCUGCCGUAAAACCCCCAAUUUAUCAAGGUUGACCUCGAAUCGGUUCAGACAAACUCGCUAAAUUGAAGCAUCUUAGUCAGCGAAGGAAAAGAAACCAACAGGGAUUGCCCUAGUAACGGCGAGUGAAGCGGCAACAGCUCAAAUUUGAAAUCUGGCCCUCGGGU
This 640-nucleotide ribosomal RNA is filed under the name fungal endophyte. RNAcentral describes it as "eukaryotic LSU rRNA". The stretch from base 191 to 344 matches the Rfam family "5.8S ribosomal RNA". Lineage: Eukaryota; Fungi. The record is from RNAcentral.